UGAGAAUCUGCCUUCUGGUCGGGGAUAACCACUGGAAACGGUGGCUAAUACCGGAUAUGCCGCAACGUGAAAGAUUUAUCGCCAGAAGAGGAGCUCGCGUCUGAUUAGCUAGUUGGUGGGGUAAAAGCCUACCAAGGCAUCGAUCAGUAGCUGGUCUGAGAGGACGAUCAGCCACACUGGGACUGAGACACGGCCCAGACUCCUACGGGAGGCAGCAGUGGGGAAUUUUCCGCAAUGGGCGAAAGCCUGACGGAGCAAGACCGCGUGAGGGAAGAAGGCUCUUGGGUCGUAAACCUCUUUUGUCAGGGAAGAACACAAUGACGGUACCUGACGAAUCAGCCUCGGCUAACUCCGUGCCAGCAGCCGCGGUAAUACGGAGGAGGCAAGCGUUAUCCGGAAUUAUUGGGCGUAAAGCGUCCGCAGGUGGCUAUUCAAGUCUGCGGUCAAAGACUGGGGCUUAACCCUGGAAAGGCCGUGGAAACUGAAAAGCUAGAGUGCAGUAGGGGUAGAGGGAAUUCCCGGUGUAGCGGUGAAAUGCGUAGAGCUCGGGAAGAACAUCGGUGGCGAAAGCGCUCUGCUGGACUGCAACUGACACUCAGGGACGAAAGCUAGGGGAGCGAAUGGGAUUAGAUACCCCAGUAGUCCUAGCCGUA
RNAcentral lists this ribosomal RNA (653 nucleotides) under uncultured cyanobacterium. RNAcentral describes it as "bacterial SSU rRNA". It matches the Rfam family "Bacterial small subunit ribosomal RNA", at positions 118 to 804 of the family's 1533-position model. The record is from RNAcentral. Lineage: Bacteria; Bacillati; Cyanobacteriota.